CCUACGGGUGGCAGCAGUGAGGAAUAUUGGUCAAUGGUCGGGAGACUGAACCAGCCAAGCCGCGUGAGGGAUGAAGGUACAGAGUAUCGUAAACCUCUUUUGUCAGGGAACAAAGGCGGGGACGCGUCCCCGGAUGAGUGUACCUGAAGAAAAAGCAUCGGCUAACUCCGUGCCAGCAGCCGCGGUAAUACGGAGGCUGCGAGCUUUAUCAGGAUGUAUUGGGUUUAAAGGGUGCGCAGGCGGUCUGUUAAGUCAGCGGUCAAACCCCGGGGCUCAACCCCGGCCCGCCGUUGAAACUGGCAGUCUCGAGUUGGAGAGAAGUAUGCGGAAUGCGCGGUGUAGCGGUGAAAUGCAUAGAUAUCGCGCAGAACUCCGAUUGCGAAGGCAGCAUGCCGGCUCCACACUGACGCUGAGGCACGAAAGCGUGGGUAUCGAACAGGAUUAGAUACCCUGGUAGUC
This 459-nucleotide ribosomal RNA is filed under the name uncultured bacterium. RNAcentral's name for it is "partial 16S ribosomal RNA". It matches the Rfam family "Bacterial small subunit ribosomal RNA", at positions 338 to 795 of the family's 1533-position model. The record is from RNAcentral.